Molecule: ribosomal RNA, 611 nt
Filed under: Gammaproteobacteria bacterium
Lineage: Bacteria; Pseudomonadati; Pseudomonadota; Gammaproteobacteria
Description: bacterial SSU rRNA
Rfam family: Bacterial small subunit ribosomal RNA
Source: RNAcentral
UGCAGUCGAGCGGUAACAUUUCAAAAGCUUGCUUUUGAAGAUGACGAGCGGCGGACGGGUGAGUAAUGCCUGGGAAUUUGCCCAUUUGUGGGGGAUAACAGUUGGAAACGACUGCUAAUACCGCAUACGCCCUACGGGGGAAAGCAGGGGACCUUCGGGCCUUGCGCUGAUGGAUAAGCCCAGGUGGGAUUAGCUAGUAGGUGAGGUAAUGGCUCACCUAGGCAACGAUCCCUAGCUGGUCUGAGAGGAUGAUCAGCCACACUGGGACUGAGACACGGCCCAGACUCCUACGGGAGGCAGCAGUGGGGAAUAUUGCACAAUGGGGGAAACCCUGAUGCAGCCAUGCCGCGUGUGUGAAGAAGGCCUUCGGGUUGUAAAGCACUUUCAGCGAGGAGGAAAGGGUGUAAGUUAAUACCUUACAUCUGUGACGUUACUCGCAGAAGAAGCACCGGCUAACUCCGUGCCAGCAGCCGCGGUAAUACGGAGGGUGCGAGCGUUAAUCGGAAUUACUGGGCGUAAAGCGUGCGCAGGCGGUUUGUUAAGCGAGAUGUGAAAGCCCCGGGCUCAACCUGGGAACCGCAUUUCGAACUGGCAAACUAGAGUCCUGUAGA